GAUGAACGCUGGCGGCGUGCUUAACACAUGCAAGUCGAACGGAAAGGCCAGUGCUUGCACUGGUACUCGAGUGGCGAACGGGUGAGUAACACGUGGGUGAUCUGCCCUGUACUUCGGGAUAAGCUUGGGAAACUGGGUCUAAUACCGGAUAGGACAACUUUUUGGAUAUUGUUGUGGAAAGCUUUUGCGGUAUGGGAUGAGCUCGCGGCCUAUCAGCUUGUUGGUGGGGUAAUGGCCUACCAAGGCGUCGACGGGUAGCCGGCCUGAGAGGGUGUACGGCCACAUUGGGAAUGAGAUACGGGCCAGACUCCUACGGGAGGCAGCAGGGGGGAAUAUUGCACAAUGGGCGCAAGCCUGAUGCAGCGACGCCGCGUGGGGGAUGAAGGCCUUCGGGUUGUAAACUCCUUUCGCUAGGGACGAAGCUUUUUUGUGACGGUACCUGGAGAAGAAGCACCGGCUAACUACGUG
RNAcentral lists this ribosomal RNA (468 nucleotides) under uncultured bacterium. RNAcentral describes it as "partial 16S ribosomal RNA". It matches the Rfam family "Bacterial small subunit ribosomal RNA", at positions 28 to 507 of the family's 1533-position model. The record is from RNAcentral.